GAUGAACGCUAGCGGCAGGCUUAACACAUGCAAGUCGAGGGGCAGCGGGAGUAGCAAUACUUGCCGGCGACCGGCGCAAGGGUGCGUAACGCGUGAGCAACAUGCCCGUAUCAGGGGGAUAAUCCAUGGAAACGUGGUCUAAUACUCCAUAGUAAAUUUUUGGGGCAUCUCAAAGAUUUUAACGCUUUGGUGGAUACGGAUUGGCUCGCGUGACAUUAGCUAGAUGGUAAGGUAACGGCUUACCAUGGGUACGAUGUCUAGGGGUUCUGAGAGGAAGGUCCCCCACACUGGAACUGAGACACGGUCCAGACUCCUACGGGAGGCAGCAGUGAGGAAUAUUGGACAAUGGAUGGAAAUCUGAUCCAGCCAUGCCGCGUGCAGGAAGACGGCCCUAUGGGUUGUAAACUGCUUUUGUAUGGGAGCAAUAAGGUCUACGUGUAGACCGAUGAGAGUACCAUACGAAUAAGCACCGGCUAACUCCGUGCCAGCCGCCGCAGUAA
RNAcentral lists this ribosomal RNA (500 nucleotides) under uncultured bacterium. RNAcentral describes it as "partial 16S ribosomal RNA". It matches the Rfam family "Bacterial small subunit ribosomal RNA", at positions 28 to 523 of the family's 1533-position model. The record is from RNAcentral.